CUCGGGCCGAUAUUCUCCCAGUAUGGCCCUCAUGCUUGGUUAAUAAGAUAUAUAUAUCUAACUCCCUUUUCUACUUAUUAAAGCAGUUUAACUGUUUGUUACCUCCCAGCUUAACCCUCCCUUUUCUACUGAUUAAAGCACUCUCACUGUUUGUAACAUUUCCAGACGGCGAGUCAUGGGUUUGAAUCCCAUAAAGAAUACCACACUUUUGGCUCAGUGCAAGACAGUGUCUCUUGGGUUUGAAUCCAUAAUGAGAAUAAAAUGCUUUGAUUUUUAAAGUUCCAGAGAGUGUUGUCAAGGGUUGGAGUCCCAUAAAGAAAACCAUACUUUUGCUCAGGCAAGUUUCUUGAACGUUCUACUGACAAAAGUACUUUCUGAGGCAACACUGUGUCUUGGGCUUGAAUUCCAAUUUAAGAUUGAAAUGCUUCUCUUAAAACUUAGUUCCUUUGCUACUUAAAUAAUUUCUUUUACGGUCUGUCAGCCAGUGCAAGACAGUGUGUUGUGGGUUUGAAUUCAAUGCAAUAUUAAAAUACUUUUGCAAAAGCAAGUUCUUUAUCUACUUAUAAAAGGACUUUCAGUCAGUGCAAGACAUGGUCUCUUAAUUAGCUUUGAAACCACGAUAUUAGUUAAUACUUUAGUUUAAGUAAGUUCCUUUAAUUUCUAUUUAUAGAAGGACUUUCACUGUCUGUUACAGUGCAAGACAGUACGCGACUCUUGGGUUUUUAAUCCCAUACAAGAUGAAAGUACUUUUACUUCAGCAAGUUCCUUUUCCACUGAUAAAAGUUCUUUCACUGUCUGUUAACCAGUGUUAGGAGUUCAUCAUAGAUUUGAAGCCAUUACAUUUAAAAUGCUUCAGUCUACUAUAGUGGGUUAUAUUAUAAUUUACUAUAAUUAUAUAAAAACACUUUCACUGUCUCAAACAGUGGAAGACAGCGUCUCUCUGGGUUUGUAUCCCUAAUACAAGAUCAAAAUAGUUACUUUUAAUAUGCCAAGUUGAGUUCAUUUCUACCUCUAAAAGCACUUUCAUUUUCUGUUUCAGUGCAAGCCAGAGUGUUUUGGGCUUGAAUACCACACACGAUUAAAAUACUUCUGCCGUAUUGAGUUCCUUUUCUACUGAGAAAAGCACUGUUAUUAAUAAUCAGUUUAAUUACUCUUUUUGUAGCUUACAGCUAAAUUAUAAGAGUGGGUUCAUCUCUAAGAGUGCCUGAGCGUAGAUGGUAUCCAUGGGACACAGUUGUGCAAUGUGGCAGCAAGUUAGCAUGGACACCACUGUUUCAGUUGCCCAAGUGCAAUAUAGUUUGUCUUGCGUUUGAAUCCCACAUAAGGUUGAAAUACUGUUUGCUAAUUAAUAUAUAUAAAGUGAGUUAUUUUACUUAUAAUUAUGUACAUAAAAAGUUUCUCUUUCCAUUACUGCACAAGAUAGUGGGUCAUGAGCUUUAAUUCCAUAUUUAAGAUUAAUAUAACUUUGCUUAUAAACUGGGUUCCUUUCCUUCUGAUGGAAGUACUUUCACUGUCUGUUUUCCAGUACAAGACAGUUUGUCUUGCGUUUGAAUCCCAUAUAAAUAAUUAUUUAAAACACUUUGCUAUUAUAAUUAUUUACCUCAGUUUUCUACUGAUUAAAGCACUCUCAGUGUCACUUUGUUACAGUAUAGUUCAGUGGGUCAUGAUCUCGAAUCCCAUAUAAGAUUAGUACAAUUAUUUAAGAUUAAACUGCUUUUGCCAUUGUGAGUUCCUCUUCUAGGGACGAAAUUCUUUCACUGUUUGUUGCACAGUUCCAGAGGGUGUCAUAGGUUUGAAUCCCAAAGAAUGCCAUACUUUCACUUAAGUGAGCUUCUUUAGUAUUCUACUAGUACUUUAAAGUAUUCAGAGUCUGUUAACUGAGGCAAGACAGUGUGUCCUGGGCUUGAAUCCCUUACAAUAUUAAAAUACUUUUGCUAAACUGAGUUCCUUUGCUGCUGAUAAAAUUUCUUUCACUGUCCAUGUGCAAGAACAGUAUGUCAAGGGGUUUGAAUCCCAUACAAGAUUAAAAUACUCUUGCUACUUAAAAGUGAAUCCUUUUUCUACUAAUAAAACGACUUUCAUCCUUUCUUACAGUCCAAGAUUUAGUGUCUCUUAAAUUUGGUUUAAUUGCCAUAUACAAUAAAAAUGCUUUCACUAAGGUGGGUUAUUUUCUGUGUAUAAAAGCGCUUUCACUUUCUGUCUCAGUGCAAGAGAUUAUGGGCUUGAAUCCCAUAUAAAUUUAGAACACUUUUGCUAUAUUAGCUGACCUCCCUUUUCUACCGAAUAAAGCACUUUCACUGUCUGUUACCCCACAGUGCAAGACUGUGUGCGUGUCUUGGGUUUGAAUCCCAUAUAAGAUUUAAACACAUUUCCUAAAAUAAGUUUCUUUUCUUCUGAUAAAAGGACUAUUGCUGUAAUGUUACCCUGUAGUGCAAGACAGUAUCUUAUGGGUAGACCUAUUAAUUUUAAGAUGAAAAUACUUUUGCAAUAGCAAGUUCCUUUUAUACUGAUAAAAGUUCUUUCACUGUCUGUAACUGAAAGUGCAAGACAGCGUGUCUAAUUGGGUGUGAAACUGGACAAGAUUAAAAUGCUUUUGCCAUU
Molecule: long non-coding RNA, 2601 nt
Organism: Stylophora pistillata
Lineage: Eukaryota; Metazoa; Cnidaria; Anthozoa; Scleractinia; Pocilloporidae
Source: RefSeq, a predicted model, not a curated record